UGCAAGCGUAUGCACACUGAGGAAAGGCUACUUGAGGACAAAAGAGAAAGCGGCCCAUCUACCAGCUGGGAAGAGAACCCUCACCACAAACCAAAUUGGCUGAAACCUUGAUCUUGGACUUCUGGCCUCCAGAAUUUUCCAGUGGCUAUAAUUCCAAGAUCAAGGUGUCAGCAGCAUGGUUCUUUCUGAGAGCUGUGAAGAAGAAUCUGUUCCAUGCCUCUCCCCCAGUUUCUGGUGGUGUGCUGGCAGUCUUUGGCAUUCUUUGGCCUGCAGACGCAUCACCCUAAUCUCAGCCCAGCUCCGGAACGCCUUUCCCAUGUUUGGUGUGUUUUCUACCUAAUGAGUUUUGAUGGAAGUGAAGGCUGUUAUUUACCUCUGGAAGCUAAAAAUACCAGCUCCCUGGUCAUCUCAGAGUUGGUUUCCGAUGCAACUAAAAACAUCAACUGAUAUGAGGUCCAAAAGAUGGAAUUUUAAGCACCAAAGACGCUCCCUUAUGGGCAAAGUCUCAAUAGGACAUCUGCAUGUUCAGUUGAGAUUCUGCUUUCCCCUCAGAUGAUAGAAUUAUUGGCAACCAGUUAAGUUGACGCAAUUGGAAACCCAGAAACAUGAUCAACAAAGAUAAGGAGAUGGAGAUACCAGUCACCCCUAUCAAAGUGGCAAGUGGGAGGGGGAUGCUGGUUGGUCUGUCGGAGCUGACGAAGGAAUGGGAUUGGAAUGUUUCUUUUACCAAUUAUGUAAACACAGCCUGGAGUUCCGAGAUGAGUCCAUCUCACUUGCUCAGAACUUUGCCUGGUGAGAGCGGUUACAAGCGAACAAGGUGGAAAUGAAAGAAACCCUGACUUUCCCACUAGGAAGGAAGAGACUGUUCCUUCUUGUGAUGUACUCUGAAGAAAAAUUCUAGGAUUUGGACAGAUUUCUCGGGUUAUAAAACAUGAUUUUCUUCUCUGUUUCUUGGGCUUUUAUAAUGGGUACUGUUGUUUUCUUGCAAAGCUUUAACGAUUCCAUAAGGACUUGUAUAAAGUUUAUGGGAGAAUUUUCAAUGUAGAUGUGAAUGGCAGAAACCCAAGAAUCUGUGUGAGGUUGAAUAAGAUCCUGUGUCUCCAGAGAGGUCUGAUGGGGAGACACAGAUCUAAAUUUUAAAGGUGGUUUGGGCCUUCUCAAUCAUAUAUUAAGGUCCUUUUAUGUUAUAGAUAAGUAAAUUAAGGCCCAGAAAGAUUAAUAGCCCAAGGUCCCAAGACCUGCUUGAGACCUGUGCCCCAUUCCUGACUAAUAUUCUUCAUGAUAUUAUAUCACUCUGUAUCAAAACCAACCAACCAAUAAAACCAACCAACCAACCAACCAACCAACCAACCAACCAACC
This 1360-nucleotide long non-coding RNA is filed under the name Pan troglodytes (chimpanzee). RNAcentral describes it as "lincRNA". The record is from RNAcentral. Lineage: Eukaryota; Metazoa; Chordata; Mammalia; Primates; Hominidae.